UGGCUGAUCUUCCAGCACGAGGUACUGGCAGGCUUGUUCCGUGACCCGUUUCCGCUGGUUCUCCAUCACGGUGUCGUGUCCUCUCGGCCAUCUUUACCUACAUUCUCUUCACUGCAACUUAAAAACUACUCACACGAAUGACUGAAGUCCAGGAUGGAGGCUCCUUCCUCCAGAGGGUGUGGCCAUUCUGCAUCUCAGCUCAGUGAAUCAGGGAAGGAUUAGAUUCCCCAUCUUGGCCAGCCCUUGGGAUCGACUUCUAUCACCUCACUCCCACAAGCCUCUAAAAACCCAGCUGUUUGCAGUCAUUUCUUCCAAAGCAAGACCUUCAGCCAUGCACACUCAAGAAAUACUGGAUUAAACACAGAGCGGAGGUGUUACCUGGAGAGGCGUACACCCUGUCCCCAGCCCCCGAGGGCUGUCAUGGAGGAACGAGGCUGAGCAGGUCCAGAGCCAGCCAGGACCACGCAGGGAGCGACCAGGACCGGAAAGGGGGCACGUCCAGCUCUCCGUGGCAGUGCGGUCUCCUCAGUGGGAAAUGUCGCAGAGCCAUUCACAAGGCGGCACUGGGGGCUGGAGGGACUAGAUGUCUCAGAUGCUUAUGGUUUUAUGUUUUUAUGGUCCUUGCUCCUUGGGGUCACGUGUCUCCAGCCUCCUCUCAGGAGCUCAAGUCAACAUGUGCUCAAGCUGCCAGAGUUCAGGAUUUUAUUUUAAAACAAUAGUAAACAAUUUCAUUGAUUUUUCUUAAAUCAAA
Long non-coding RNA from Myotis lucifugus (little brown bat), 751 nucleotides. RefSeq lists it as uncharacterized. The record is from RefSeq and is a predicted model, not a curated record. The transcript has 2 exons. NCBI's taxonomy places the organism in Eukaryota, Metazoa, Chordata, Mammalia, Chiroptera, Vespertilionidae.